Molecule: long non-coding RNA, 1050 nt
Filed under: Sinocyclocheilus anshuiensis
Lineage: Eukaryota; Metazoa; Chordata; Actinopteri; Cypriniformes; Cyprinidae
Description: lncRNA (ENSSANG00000001852.1)
Source: RNAcentral
CUCAAGUUAAAGAUGAGAUACUGGAUUAAUAUAAAAAGGACACUUAGAUAGUCAUCCAGUUAAGAAAGUUCGGAAGGAUUGCUGGGAAUAUGAGUAUAAAAAACUAUCAAGCUUUGGAUGGACUGCCAAUGAGGAGGCACAGAAUAUGGGAAUUAGUGACAUCAAUAUUGCUCCUUCUGUGGCAACUUCAGCAAUUCCUCCUUGGCUUUUCCCUAUGCCUGUAGUUGACAUUCAGCUAUAUGAAGAAAAACAUAACCAGGAAAGAAGUAUGCUAACAAAUAUAGCAGUGCAGCAAUACAUUGAACAAACGUAUUAUAGCAUAUUGCAAAUAUACACGGAUGGCUCUAAAGAUCCUGAGUCUGGAAUAACAGCAGCAGCAGUCUACAUACCCCAAUUCAAAGUCAAAAUUUCAAAAAGAAUUUCAGAUCACAUAUCUGUUUAUACGACAGAGACAAUAGCAAUAUUCCUAGCUCUUCAGUGGAUAGAAGAAGUACAGCCAAUAAGGUCAGUAAUUUGUACAGACUCCCUUUCAGUUUUAAAUAGCUUGCUAAGUGGAAUUUCAACAGCAAGGCAAGAUAUCAUUUUUGAAGUGAUGCAGAGUCUAUUUAGAAUAAGACAAUCUGGUCUUAUGGUAAAUUUCCUUUGGGUACCAUCACAUAUGGGUGUGGAAGGAAAUGAGGAGGCAGACCAUCUGGCUAAACAGGCUCUGAGACAUGCACAAAUUGACAUUAAAGUGUCAAUGAGUAAAGCAGAAGUAAAAGGGUUAAUUGCAAAUGAAAUAAGAAAGAAAUGGCAGAAGGAGUGGGAUAGUGGAACAAAAGGUAGACACUUUCAUCAUAUUCAUGAGAAAGUAGGUCAAGAAAGAAGAAAGUUUGGCAACAUGAAAGAAUACGUUUUAAUGUCAAGAAUGCGUAUUGGACAUUGUUCGUUAAAUCAGUGUCUGUAUAGAAUGGGGAAGCAUGAAACUGGAAAGUGUGACAAAUGUGGUCAUGCAGAAUCAGUAGAACAUGUACUUAUAGAGUGUGUUGCAUAUGAAGGAGCAAGAUUUCA